UACGAAGGGGGCUAGCGUUGCUCGGAAUCACUGGGCGUAAAGCGCACGUAGGCGGGUCUUUAAGUCAGGGGUGAAAUCCCGGAGCUCAACUCCGGAACUGCCUUUGAUACUGGAGAUCUUGAGUCCGGGAGAGGUGAGUGGAACUGCGAGUGUAGAGGUGAAAUUCGUAGAUAUUCGCAAGAACACCAGUGGCGAAGGCGGCUCACUGGCCCGGUACUGACGCUGAGGUGCGAAAGCGUGGGGAGCAAACAGGAUUAGAAACCCGAGUAGUCC
Molecule: ribosomal RNA, 273 nt
Filed under: uncultured bacterium
Lineage: Bacteria
Description: partial 16S ribosomal RNA
Rfam family: Bacterial small subunit ribosomal RNA
Source: RNAcentral